This is a long non-coding RNA of Biomphalaria glabrata, 3320 nucleotides long. RefSeq lists it as uncharacterized. The record is from RefSeq and is a predicted model, not a curated record. The transcript is spliced from 16 exons. Lineage: Eukaryota; Metazoa; Mollusca; Gastropoda; Planorbidae.
UAGGUGCUUAUCAUCAUCAUGGCUUAUGAUUAUCUCAUCUCUAUAUCUUAUCUUAUCUUAUCUUAUAUAAUACAGCAUGUUGGAAUGGAUUUUUUGAAAGCCUUCAAAAUGAAACAUAUUUAGACUUAUGAAUAAGAUUCUAAUGGGAAUAUUAAUGUUUCAGCUGUAGAAUAUGGAUAUAAAUAAUGAUUGGAAUAGAGAUGUAAUUCUGCUGUGUCCCCGUGAGUUGGAAACCAGUAAGCAAGUCUUCUAAUAGAGGUCUGAUAGAGUCAUGUACAUCAAGCGAUCAGCACUAAAAGAUGUGGACCUGAUGUGGUGUCAAGAUGAUGAAGCUUUUGCUUUCUUCUUUUGGCUGUUCGUUUAACACAAGACAAAGCACAGACUGAUCGUCAUACCAUUUUAAGAUCCUGGGAUGUGAAAGACUUUGCACCGGACUGUCGUCAGUAUCUUUACCUCUUCCAUGCCGGCAAUAAAAUACAUCUGAAACUUGUUGGGGAGACUAACGCUCUGAAAACAAUAAAUUGGGAAAAAAAGAUUUGAAUGCUGGGACAAGAAGCCCCUGGAUGAGGCUGCCAAGUGAUUGGUUCAAAUUUCACACAGUUCAGGCCAAACUCUUAGGCCCUUACUCAAAUAGAGUAAUGUUAUUAAUAUAUUUACAUUUUGACAUCAAAGUUUGUACUUCACCGAUCAUAUUGUGCGUAAAGAUGGGUUAGGUUAGAUGAGUUCAGCUUUGCCUUGUUAGCCAACAACUGUCUGUAUCCUGGACUGUCCACACUUGUAUUAUUGCUGGUACACUUUCAGCAGUGAGCCAUGGCAGCAGACGUAUAGAAGGCAUGCUGGGAAUGAAAUUCAUCACAUACAGCUGCAAAAAAUAUUUUCAUUGGUAAUUAUGUGGGCUGCACAAGCCUCAGCUGAUGCUCACCAAAGAACUGAGGCAAAUCUUUUUCGCUGUCCAUACCUUUCUUGGUUACCAUUUCUUUACAUAGUGUGUACAUCUGGAACCUGUCGUGAAUUGUCCAUAAAAAUAACACUUGGUAUAUGAUUGUCCUGCAGGACCAAGCCAGCUCAGACGUCGUUGUCUGAGGAUUGUAAAGAUAUUUGGAAGACCAAUUUUAUCAAGUAACUUUAUAAAUGUUAUAAUAUCAUUAGCUCUUGGAAAUCCUAUGCCGAACUGGGAGUCGAACACUUAGUGAGGUUGUGACUGAACGUCGCAUGAGGUUUGCGGGACAUGUUCUACGUCAAAAUGAAUUACGCACACCAAGAGUUGCGAUAACAUGGAAGCCAAAACAAGGAAAGCGCAAACAGGGACGUCCUCGUAUUACCUGGCGACACACCUUCAUGGAGGACCUCAGAACAGUGGACACCAGGUGGGAGGAGGCUUCAGACAUUACCAGUGACAGAUCAUUAUGGAGACAGCUUGCCGCCCAAUGCGCCGAACGGCGCCGGAGGACCUAUGUCUAAAAUGUUGAGUCAGAUAUUGAAGCCAGAGCUUGUAUCUAAGUCAAAGACCACUAGUAUUUGACAGUGUUUACAGAGGACAAGAUGUCCCAGCUCAGUCCAAAAUUCAUAAAGACUGUGUCUCAGCGAAGCAUAAGAGUUGGUCUUGGAUUCAAACAGUCAAUGAAUGUUUAGGCAUUCAUAGUGAAAAUACUGCUAACUAUCAUCAGUUCUACCAUGCUGUUUGCCACCUGGAAGAAGACAUGCUUUCAUUCUUGCUUUGGAUGGACAGUUCAACAGCUAGAGCUCAAGUCAAGACUCAAGAUCCUGAUGUCAUGUUAAAACAUUUCAGUUUAAUAAACAAUUGUUGGACUAUCAGGGCUAGUUAGAUCUUCUUACAGAGCAAAGUUGAGAUAUUCACCCAGUUCAUCACCGCCAAGAACUGCCAGAAUGGCAUUUGAAGGCUAGAGCUCUUGUCCAAUAUCAGCACAAACAUGUGUCAUUAGCAAAAGGGGACUUUGUCAAGAUUUUGGAAAAUUCUGAUGCUGAAAGAUGGAAGAUGGAAUAGAAAGUGAAGUCCCUGCUAUUGUGUUGGUCAUUCCUUCCUGCUUCCAACAGAUUGAUAAAUUAGAACAAAUCAAGGUCAAUAGUUCUAUUUCUGCUGAUAAAUGGUCACAUUUAAUCCAGUUUUUAAGUGCUGCUAUUUCCCAGACACAGUUCAAAGAUGUGAUGAUGGAGUCAUAAACAGUAGGAUACAGAGGUGGAACAAAACUGGAGCUUUAGUUUGUUUGUUUGUAGAACUUGGCAUCUACUCCAGACAUUAUUUUGAAGAACACUCAAGUAAAAGAAAAGAAGAAAUGUUAAAGGUUAAGGACUUGGGCACCAAUCAUACUUACACUUCAAAAGCUUUAAUUUGAAAGGUCUUAUAUUUUUGUGGAAAUAAAUUUUACUAGUGGAGUUUUUGUAGCUGCCAGAGUGGAUCAAGGUGGAUGUGAUAUCUAUUUAUAAACAUGUAUACCAGUAUAUUGUAAUCAGUGAUUUUCAUUUUUUGGUAACAGUUUGUUUCCAUUUAGAUUGCAGUCUUUCUUAUGUGAAAACAAGAUGUCUGCAUAAUCUUAGAGGACAUUUUUAAACUCAUUUAAAUUUAUUAGAUGAAAUAUUUAUAAAACAUACAAUGUAAAUUGUUUUGUAAAAUGAUUAUACAUUUGAGUUCAUAAAAAUGUGUAAUUUUUUAAUGGCAUCAUGUUUCUGCUUAUCUGUAUCUGAUACUGAUGAUGUGUUUUCUAAAUCUAUUACUGCUUCACCAUUGAGGAAAAACUGCACAUGUUUAAACCCAUAUCUGAAGUAACUUUCCAGAAAAAAAAAAGAUGUAUGUUGGACAGUGUCCAAAAUUUCAAAUCAUUUCCUUCAAAAUGUUAUCAAUUUCCUCCAUAACUUCAUAACAUUAUUGAAUUUUUUCCUUCAGAACACAAUUGUAAAUUAUCUUUUUUUUUUUUUUUUUUUGUUAAACCACAAUGAGAGUCUAAUAACUAAUAGUCUAGCAAACAAUUACUUAUAAUUUGCCUUAUUAUUAUACAAUAUUAAGAUUUACUUCUGCAGGGAUGAAAAACUUUUUUUAAAAUACAAUAGACAUGUAUAAUAAUAAAGUACAUUCACACCUGACUCACUCAUAAUUUACAUGUGAAAAGUUUAUAUCAGAUUGUUUCUAUUUAAUGAUUUGAUUGCCAUCAGUGUCUUGUAUCUCUUUUGUGAUGGUAAAGUCACAAAAUGUAGGAAACCCCACUGUGUUUGGUCCAGUAUGUGGGUUAUUAUAUGUAAGUCUAUUGUAUUUUCUAUAUUAUUUUACAAAUGUAAAAAAAAUAAAAAGAAAUUGUUACACUGUU